RNAcentral lists this ribosomal RNA (485 nucleotides) under uncultured bacterium. RNAcentral's name for it is "bacterial SSU rRNA". It matches the Rfam family "Bacterial small subunit ribosomal RNA", at positions 127 to 646 of the family's 1533-position model. The record is from RNAcentral.
UACCCAUCUCUACGGAACAACUCCGGGAAACUGGAGCUAAUACCGUAUACGUCCUUCGGGAGAAAGAUUUAUCGGAGAUGGAUGAGCCCGCGUUGGAUUAGCUAGUUGGUGGGGUAAUGGCCUACCAAGGCGACGAUCCAUAGCUGGUCUGAGAGGAUGAUCAGCCACACUGGGACUGAGACACGGCCCAGACUCCUACGGGAGGCAGCAGUGGGGAAUAUUGGACAAUGGGCGAAAGCCUGAUCCAGCCAUGCCGCGUGAGUGAUGAAGGCCCUAGGGUUGUAAAGCUCUUUCAACGGUGAAGAUAAUGACGGUAACCGUAGAAGAAGCCCCGGCUAACUUCGUGCCAGCAGCCGCGGUAAUACGAAGGGGGCUAGCGUUGUUCGGAAUUACUGGGCGUAAAGCGCACGUAGGCGGAUACUUAAGUCAGGGGUGAAAUCCCGGGGCUCAACCCCGGAACUGCCUUUGAUACUGGGUAUCUGGAG